RNAcentral lists this ribosomal RNA (253 nucleotides) under uncultured bacterium. Its description in RNAcentral is "partial 16S ribosomal RNA". It matches the Rfam family "Bacterial small subunit ribosomal RNA", at positions 524 to 776 of the family's 1533-position model. The record is from RNAcentral.
AACGUAGGGCCCAAGCGUUGUCCGGAAUCACUGGGUGUAAAGGGUGCGUAGGCGGGCGCGUGCGUCCGGGGUGAAAGGCUCCGGCUCAACCGGAGACAUGCCUCGGAUACGGCGCGUCUUGGGUGCGGGAGAGGGCGAUGGAAUUCCUGGUGUAGCGGUGAAAUGCGUAGAUAUCAGGAGGAACACCAGUGGCGAAGGCGGUCGCCUGGCCCGCAACCGACGCUGAGGCACGAAAGCGUGGGGAGCAAACCGG